Molecule: ribosomal RNA, 675 nt
Filed under: uncultured bacterium
Lineage: Bacteria
Description: bacterial SSU rRNA
Rfam family: Bacterial small subunit ribosomal RNA
Source: RNAcentral
CAGGCUUAACACAUGCAAGUCGAGGGGCAGCAUUUUAGUUUGCUUGCAAACUAAAGAUGGCGACCGGCGCACGGGUGAGUAACACGUAUCCAACCUGCCGAUAACUCGGGGAUAGCCUUUCGAAAGAAAGAUUAAUAUCCGAUAGUAUAUUUUCUCCGCAUGGCGAGAAUAUUAAAGAAUUUCGGUUAUCGAUGGGGAUGCGUUCCAUUAGUUUGUUGGCGGGGUAACGGCCCACCAAGACUACGAUGGAUAGGGGUUCUGAGAGGAAGGUCCCCCACAUUGGAACUGAGACACGGUCCAAACUCCUACGGGAGGCAGCAGUGAGGAAUAUUGGUCAAUGGACGAGAGUCUGAACCAGCCAAGUAGCGUGAAGGAUGACUGCCCUAUGGGUUGUAAACUUCUUUUAUAUGGGAAUAAAGUAUUCCACGUGUGGGAUUUUGUAUGUACCAUAUGAAUAAGGAUCGGCUAACUCCGUGCCAGCAGCCGCGGUAAUACGGAGGAUCCGAGCGUUAUCCGGAUUUAUUGGGUUUAAAGGGAGCGUAGGUGGAUUGUUAAGUCAGUUGUGUAAGUUUGCGGCUCAACCGUAAAAUUGCAGUUGAAACUGGCAGUCUUGAGUACAGUAGAGGUGGGCGGAAUUCGUGGUGUAGCGGUGAAAUGCUUAGAUAUCACGAAGAA